AGCGUAAUAGCUCACUGGUCGAGUCGGCCUGCGCGGAAGAUGUAACGGGGCUAAACCAUGCACCGAAGCUGCGGCAGCGACACUAUGUGUUGUUGGGUAGGGGAGCGUUCUGUAAGCCUGUGAAGGUAGCCUGUGAGGGUUGCUGGAGGUAUCAGAAGUGCGAAUGCUGACAUAAGUAACGAUAAAGCGGGUGAAAAGCCCGCUCGCCGGAAGACCAAGGGUUCCUGUCCAACGUUAAUCGGGGCAGGGUGAGUC
Molecule: ribosomal RNA, 255 nt
Filed under: Escherichia coli
Lineage: Bacteria; Pseudomonadati; Pseudomonadota; Gammaproteobacteria; Enterobacterales; Enterobacteriaceae
Description: partial 23S ribosomal RNA
Rfam family: Bacterial large subunit ribosomal RNA
Source: RNAcentral